RNAcentral lists this small RNA (73 nucleotides) under Cohaesibacter marisflavi. RNAcentral's name for it is "suhB". It matches the Rfam family "Makes More Granules Regulator RNA (mmgR)". From Rfam's summary of the family: SuhB later renamed mmgR (makes more granules regulator) was a putative non-coding RNA found multiple times in the Agrobacterium tumefaciens genome and related alpha-proteobacteria. Other non-coding RNAs uncovered in the same analysis include: speF, ybhL, metA, and serC. The record is from RNAcentral. Lineage: Bacteria; Pseudomonadati; Pseudomonadota; Alphaproteobacteria; Hyphomicrobiales; Cohaesibacteraceae.
UCCCGCCGCCCUUGCUGGGCGUUUCCUCCUUAGACUUUUCGGGCCGCGUUAAGCGGCCUUUUUUUUGUUUUGA